CACUAUUUUCCCACCACCACCAUCACUACCACCAGUAAUCAUAACACCAUUUUCCCACCACGACCACCACCACCAAUAAUCAUAACACCACUAUCUUCCCACCAUCACAGUUCCUCAGCUACUGUCAUCCUUCUCUCAGGUUCUUGUUCAUUGUACCUAUACGACUAAGAUGCCCUGCCUUGCAUAGGUUUUUGUCAAAGGUCAGCCCUUGACCACCAUAUCUCCUCACUGAGGACAAUCUGUCUUCGUAGUAUAGCUUCGCUUUUGGAAACUUCUCACAUGGCAUUUGACUUUCUUUUUCUUGAUAUCAGUGAAGAGAGAGAGAGAGGUUUGGCUGUUACAUUGACUUGCAAGGAAAAUCCCACAUUUUGGUGCCCUACAAUGUCAGUUUUGGAUUGUUUCUAAUCCUUUUCCUUAUACACGUGUACACACACACACACACACACUACAAAUGUGGUUUUUCAUCUGAGGAAAAAAAAAAUGAAAUCUCCUUAACCCUUUCGCAUUCAGAUAAUUCUAUCAAACUUAAUGCUUAUUUAUUCAAAUUAGUUAGAAUUAAUUAUGCAUUAUCUCGCUGCUUCUAGAUUUCAAUGAUGUGACAGUAUAUUAUUAGAAUGACAUUGUGUAGGGUAAGUAUAAGUGGCCAGACCUGGUCAGUUUGAACAUAAAACAUGUAGAAGAUUUCAGCCUGAUAUGGCUGGCUUAAAUGCUGAAGGGUCAAAGACAUAUAGUGUUAAAGUCACCAUAUUCUUCAGAAGAAGAAGGCAAAAGGGAAUUGUCCUGCUCUGAAGAUUGCUGUGCUGUUGUUUGUUUUUUUUUUUGUUAUUUUUUUAACACUGUAUAGCUUUAAAGCCAGAUUUUUCUCAGAUAAGAAAACAAAAAACAAAAUGCAACCAUGUGGUUGGUAAGCAAGCUGCUUACCACACAGCCACUCCUGCGCACACACACACACACACACACACACACACAUACACACACUCUCUCUCUCUCUCUCUCUCUCUCUCUCUCUCUCUCACACACACGCAUAUGCGCAUUUAUGUAAUAUAAGACAUUCAAGUGUACACCCCGACACUGGGGUUGCUGUAAUGUUCAUCAAGCUGAAAAUAGCAGCCAAAACUCUCUUGCGUUCACACUAUACAAUCUUGAGAAUGAGAAUACAAAGUGAAGGAUGCACUCCUAGAUAUUGCAAUGCCUGAGGAAAGGAUGUGGUGGUCAAGGUUGGAAUGCAUUUGCAUCAGGGCUAAAAAAAAAAAAACAAACAAA
Molecule: long non-coding RNA, 1263 nt
Organism: Octopus sinensis (East Asian common octopus)
Lineage: Eukaryota; Metazoa; Mollusca; Cephalopoda; Octopoda; Octopodidae
Exons: 2
Source: RefSeq, a predicted model, not a curated record